UGGGGAAUUUUGGACAAUGGGGGAAACCCUGAUCCAGCCAUCCCGCGUGUGCGAUGAAGGCCUUCGGGUUGUAAAGCACUUUUGGCAGGAAAGAAACGUCAUGGGUUAAUACCCCGUGAAACUGACGGUACCUGCAGAAUAAGCACCGGCUAACUACGUGCCAGCAGCCGCGGUAAUACGUAGGGUGCAAGCGUUAAUCGGAAUUACUGGGCGUAAAGCGUGCGCUGGCGGUUCGGAAAGAAAGAUGUGAAAUCCCAGAGCUCAACUUUGGAACUGCAUUUUUAACUACCGGGCUAGAGUGUGUCAGAGGGAGGUGGAAUUCCGCGUGUAGCAGUGAAAUGCGUAGAUAUGCGGAGGAACACCGAUGGCGAAGGCAGCCUCCUGGGAUAACACUGACGCUCAUGCACGAAAGCGUGGGGAGCAAACAGG
RNAcentral lists this ribosomal RNA (429 nucleotides) under Acidobacteriota bacterium. RNAcentral describes it as "Acidobacteria bacterium partial 16S ribosomal RNA". It matches the Rfam family "Bacterial small subunit ribosomal RNA", at positions 355 to 776 of the family's 1533-position model. The record is from RNAcentral. Lineage: Bacteria; Pseudomonadati; Acidobacteriota.